UGUCACUAGUUACCACACCCACAAAUGUCAAAAUUCGCUAUAUCGUAAAAGUUAAUGAAUGUAUUUCGUUGCUUUUUGUCUUCAUUUAAGGUUAGGUAUAUGGUUAUGUUUAUAAUCUGAUUUUAAGGAGGUAAAUUAUAGAAAUAGGUGGGGUUUAGCCAUAAUUAUGACUUUGCCGAUCUGGUAACUAGUAACAACCGAUCACCACCGCAACCCACUUCCCGACCAUUAAAGAACAUUGCUCUAUUCCACACUGCGGGGACCCAUGAUCACCCAGAGGGCCAGUGUCUUCACCAGACCGGCCAAAGACCCUCUCGGCCCUUCCGAGACCAUCAUUUGGACUGGGACUGUUCGCACUGGCUAUCCUGGGACCUUCCGGUUGGAUUCUCACCAACAUUGAGGACUACAAGAAGAAAGAUUAACUUAACAUGGACUCAUGUUAAUGGAUGUUCCGUACAUUCUCUACUUAUUCAAGACCCUCCUGGGAUCAUCAUUACUUCAAGAACUCUGUGGAAUAAAUCCCCAACCUCUAUGAACUACCUCUCCAUCUCCACGUUACUCUCCUCACUCCUAGUUUACUCUUCAGCCCUUUGGAGAACCGACUGCAAAUAGAAUGGCUGCACAACAUCUCAAGAAUUGUGAAUUUUAAUUGAACAAGGAGUAUGCUACAAUAUUAAAACAUAAUUCAACUUGAAAUAUUCUAGUCUCAAAUGUGCCAGUUUGUCAAGUGCCUCUCAAUGAUGCCAACACCACUCACUAAAUAGCUUGGAGAAAAACAAGCUAUAAGAGCUGUCUAUUUGAUUUACUAAGUGUUCUGUUGAAGUUACUAUAAAUCAUUUCACAUUCCUGUAAAGAAUGUUAUUUUUGGGUUACCUUAUGUGGUAAGAAAGUAGUCUGGGUACUGGUCUUAUUAGCUAACAUUCCACCCUUUGCUACUCCUGCAAAUUACCUAGUGGAAUGUUAGCUGAAGAGAGCGGUACCCAUUCUAGCAAGAAUGUACUUUAGCACUGAUCUUCAAAUGGGUGCAUUUCAUUCUAGUUUCCACUUUUUUUCUAUAGGUUUCAAAUUUAUUGAUGCCACUUGCAUCCAAAGUAAAGUGGUAAUGUAAAUUAUGAUUUCAUUAUAAAAUAGCACCAUCUGUUGGCCAAUAGCUGCUAUUACAACAUGCUGCAAUUGAAAUGAACACUUUUACCUUUAACUAGGCAAGUCAAUUAAGAACAAAUUCUUAUUUUCAAUGACAGCCUAAAAACAGUGGGUUAACUGCCUUGUUCUGGGGUAGAACAACAGAUGUUUACUUUGUCAGCUCAGGAAUUCAAUCUUGCAACCUUUCAGUUACUAGUCCAAUGCUCUAACCACUAGGCUACCUGACACUACAGUGCAUUUUUUCCCCACCUUUAUGGCUGCCUACACAAGUAGCGCAAUUCUGAUAUUUUUCUCAAUUAUUGUGCUUAUGUGCUAAGUCCCUUAUGGAGUUUUAAUUUGGCUCCAUUUCAUUUGUUAAUGUACAUUAAAAAAAAUCUUGAAUCUGCAUUUGAAAGUUUGAGUGUCUACAGGGUUGUGCUCUUCUGUUACCCUGAAAAAAUACAUUUAUUUAUUGAAUAUGUGCAUCUUGUAAAAAAAAAUGUAUCGCCAAUGCCAUCAGGUUAAAACAGACAGGAGUCCAAUCAAUGUUUAUUGUUUUAACAAUAGUUUAAUAUAGUUUAUGAAGUAAUUACUUUAAAUGAUCACAGUGGAGUAGGAAGUGGAAAAUGCUUUGAUGCAUUACUAUUAACUCAAAUUAGGGCAUCAAAGAAACUUGUCAGUGCUGCAUCGUUGCCCGGCUGUGCUUUGUCACAGAAAGAAGGAGGGUUGAAAACUUCAGGGUCCUCAACUCCGAGCACCAUGUCAAAGAAACUCAGACUGGAGAUGGAACAGACAGUAACAUAAAAGCCCCCGUCAGGCUAAAAGCAUUCAGACGUGGGCUCUUUCUCAAUGCAGUGUUUCUCAAACAAGACCAUAGUCCCUUCAUCAGAUACUGUAUAUGACUGUUUCAUGAUUUACAAUAACAGAACUGCCUAAAAUUCGGAAUGUGUACCACUUACCUUAGAAGGGUUUGAUCCUCAAUGUUGUACCACCAGGCAUGAACGGGCAGGCAACCAAACUCAGUGAAAGUGAGGAGGUAAUCAUCUGUAAGGAGUGUGCAUGGACAUUAUAAUAAAAUGUGCAGAGAUGAUACAAACCACUAGCUAUGUGAACAGCACACCGAUGGAUUAUGGCAAGGUUUUGAUUAUAUUUCUUAAUUCACUCAUGCAAAGGGAAUUUAGCAGUGAAUGUAAAUAAUAGUCGGUAGUUAGUCGGAGGUUUUCUAGAGUAUUCGUCAUUCACUCACCGUGAGGCUCUGCCAUUGUUCCUGACCAGUUGUUGACCAGCAGCCCUUCUGCAGGAGCGGAAAGGCUCCCAAUGAUCACCUGUGAUUGGAACUUGGCAUCCCUGGGGAUCUCCAUUGGCUUCCAGGGAUCCUUAAAGUGGACCUUCUCACAAGUUUGAUUAUGACGGAAGAUUUGGUAAGCUAUACCCUGAGAAGAUGAAUAAUAGACACAAUGUCAGAAUGGUUUUUAUUUUUGAAUGGAAAUGGCCUUCACACUAUAUCAUCAUCCAGUACAACCCCCUGAAUAACAAUGAUAAUGUAGAGAAUAUGUGUCUGUAAGAUCAAACCUCUUUAUAAAGAAGAAGGGUGUCUCUGUAGGUGGUGUGGUUGUCCUGGUCCAGAAGAAGUCGGAUGUGCACCCUCUCUUCAAAAGCAUCAUAGGAGAAUU
This is a long non-coding RNA of Oncorhynchus nerka (sockeye salmon), 2795 nucleotides long. RefSeq lists it as uncharacterized. The transcript is spliced from 2 exons. Lineage: Eukaryota; Metazoa; Chordata; Actinopteri; Salmoniformes; Salmonidae. The record is from RefSeq and is a predicted model, not a curated record.